CUACGGGAGGCUCCAGUGAGGAAUAUUGCACAAUGGGGGGAACCCUGAUGCAGCAACGCCGCGUGGAGGAUGACGCAUUUCGGUGUGUAAACUCCUUUUAUAUGUCAAGAAAAUGACGGUAGCAUAUGAAUAAGCACCGGCUAACUCCGUGCCAGCAGCCGCGGUAAUACGGAGGGUGCAAGCGUUACUCGGAAUCACUGGGCGUAAAGGACGCGUAGGCGGGUUGGAAAGUCAGGUGUGAAAUCCUACAGCUUAACUGUAGAACUGCACUUGAAACUUCUAAUCUAGAGUAUGGGAGGGGGAGAUGGAAUUAGUGGUGUAGGGGUAAAAUCCGUAGAUAUCACUAGGAAUACCUAAAGCGAAGGCGAUCUCCUGGAACAUUACUGACGCUAAGGCGUGAAAGCGUGGGGAGCAAACAGGAUUAGAUACCCGCGUAGUC
Molecule: ribosomal RNA, 439 nt
Filed under: uncultured bacterium
Lineage: Bacteria
Description: partial 16S ribosomal RNA
Rfam family: Bacterial small subunit ribosomal RNA
Source: RNAcentral